Amborella trichopoda is the source of this 683-nucleotide long non-coding RNA. RefSeq lists it as uncharacterized. The record is from RefSeq and is a predicted model, not a curated record. Lineage: Eukaryota; Viridiplantae; Streptophyta; Magnoliopsida; Amborellales; Amborellaceae.
GAAAAAUCUAUGGCGCGCAUUUCUCUCUGGUAAAAAUUCCAUGCCGUCUCUCGUAAAAAGCAGGAAGCCCUACCCUCUCUCUCAUGCACCUCUCUCUCUCACGUGCGUGUCCAUCUUCAAGGUCUCUCUCUGCAGAAAUUUACUGGACUCAUUGCCAUUUGAAUGACUAUGAUUGCGGUAGAUAAAGACCAUAGAACUACAAUGAGUUAUUUAAUAAAUGACAUUUCUCUCUCAGAAAUGCUAUUGAACGUGCUUUUGGAGUUUUGAAGGCAUGUUUCCCUAUCUUGAAAGUGAUUACUACCUAUCUAAUCAAAACACAAGUCAAGAUACUUGUUGCAUUUUGUAUUUUACACAAUUUCAUUACAAGUGAAGACGAUGACCUUCCUUAUUAUGAAUAUGGAAUAUCAAGAUCAAAACCAGCCACUGUUAGUGGAAGUUCCAGAGUCGGAAGUAUUUGAGAGGAGUCAGAGGAAGAGAGAUGAGUGGUUUGAGUUCAGAGAUGACCUUCCGAUGCGGAUGUGGUCAGAUUAUAGGAGUCGUCUUAAUUGAAACUCAUAAUUUUUAUUUUUAUAAUUGAGAUGAAUUCAUGAGAACAGCUUUUAUGGGAUGUAAACCUGAUUUUACUUUAUGUUUUUCUGUUAGACAUUAUGAUCCUUUUAAAUCUAUGAAAUUUCUAUUUUGCU